GUGGGGAAUAUUGGACAAUGGGCGCAAGCCUGAUCCAGCCAUGCCGCGUGAGUGAAGAAGGCCUUAGGGUUGUAAAGCUCUUUCACCUGCGAAGAUGAUGACGGUAGCAGGAGAAGAAGCCCCGGCUAACUCCGUGCCAGCAGCCGCGGUAAUACGGAGGGGGCUAGCGUUGUUCGGAAUUACUGGGCGUAAAGGGCGCGUAGGCGGUAUGCCAUGUCAGGGGUGAAAGGCCUGGGCUCAACCUAGGAACUGCCUUUGAAACUGGCAAACUAGAGUCCGAGAGAGGAUGGCGGAAUUCCCAGUGUAGAGGUGAAAUUCGUAGAUAUUGGGAAGAACACCAGUGGCGAAGGCGGCCAUCUGGAUCGGCACUGACGCUGAGGCGCGAAAGCGUGGGGAGCAAACAGG
RNAcentral lists this ribosomal RNA (405 nucleotides) under uncultured bacterium. RNAcentral's name for it is "bacterial SSU rRNA". It matches the Rfam family "Bacterial small subunit ribosomal RNA", at positions 354 to 776 of the family's 1533-position model. The record is from RNAcentral.